RNAcentral lists this unclassified non-coding RNA (253 nucleotides) under uncultured Ochroconis. RNAcentral's name for it is "sequence contains ITS2". Lineage: Eukaryota; Fungi; Ascomycota. The record is from RNAcentral.
AACGCACAUUGCGCCUCUCGGUAUUCCGGGAGGCACGCCUGUUCGAGCGCCAUUACACACUCCAAGCGAAGCUUGAUGUUGGGCGAAGCGGUACACCACCGCCCGCCUGGAACGCGUGGGCGCCCGCCGCCGGACCGCGAACGUAGCAAGACAACUCGUCAAGUCGUUCUGAGUGUCUCCGACGGGGGGCCAGCCUUAACAACCUUAUAUCCAGUUUGGCCUCGGAUCAGGCGGGGAUACCCGCUGAACUUAA